This is a long non-coding RNA of Taeniopygia guttata (zebra finch), 416 nucleotides long. RefSeq lists it as uncharacterized. The record is from RefSeq and is a predicted model, not a curated record. NCBI's taxonomy places the organism in Eukaryota, Metazoa, Chordata, Aves, Passeriformes, Estrildidae.
UUUUUUUCUUAACAUGUGCCAAUUAUUUGUCUCCUAUCUGCAGGUACUGGCAAGUAUCAGCGCUCUGGUCCCACUGUCUACAGCCUUAUCCAUUUGGCGCCUGCUUCAGCCCUCUCACAUUACCAGCAGUGGGGUCUGUUUUCAGCUGUGAAAAGCUGAAUUGAGGAUGGAAAGAUGGAGGAAGGGAGGAUGGACAUCUGCUCCUUCUCACACUCACAGUAACUCCAGGACUUGGCAGAUUGGGUGGCUACCCAGCUAGAAAAAGCUAGAUCUCAGAGGAAGUACUUUGUUUUCCACCAUGGCAGCUUGGUCCCAAAAGGAUUUCAGAAGUUUUUAAAUGUGGAUGAAACAGUCACAGAGAUUUGCACACACUGCUAUGUGGCAUUCUGUGCUAAGAGGUGCUUCAUACACGAAAU